This 205-nucleotide unclassified non-coding RNA is filed under the name Glomeraceae sp. RNAcentral describes it as "partial contains 5.8S ribosomal RNA and internal transcribed spacer 2". The stretch from base 1 to 65 matches the Rfam family "5.8S ribosomal RNA", at positions 84 to 154 of the family's 154-position model. Lineage: Eukaryota; Fungi; Glomeromycota; Glomeromycetes; Glomerales; Glomeraceae. The record is from RNAcentral.
GUGAAUCAUCGAAUUUUUGAACGCAAAUUGCACUCUCCUCGGAGAGUAAGCCUGUGUGAGGGUCAGCAUAUAAAAAAUCGACAUCGGUGCGGUUUCACGGAGACGUUCGUCGGAAAUUGGGUAAUCUUAAAUCGUCGGGGUGUAAGCGACUUAAAAUUUUCUUUUUGAUUGCAUGAACGUGUUUCGAAGAAUUAUUUCUUAACAC